UCCAUUCCUCCCAGAGUUCAAAGAAGAAUAAUGCUCUUCAUCAUCCAUCCAUUCCCACAGUUUGGGGGGUUUCUCCACCACCUCCCAAGGCCUCUCCAGGUUAGACACAGCAGCCUUAAGCUCAGCUCUCUUCCUCAUUUCAUAUAUCUGUCGCUCAUAAAAUUUCAUAAAAUCCAAAAGGAUUCAUGAUUUUAGGGUUCAGAAUGAUUUUAGGGUUCAUGAGUGAAUCCUUUUGAUUUUGAUUUGUUUAGGAUUUUUGAUUUUAGGUGUUUUUCUUUUAAUUUAAUUUUAACAAAUAAAUUUUAUUUGUAAUAAUGAUUUUUAAUUGAAUUCUUGUUAAUGUAUACUCAAACUCUAGAUACACUUCUCUUUAAAAUAUAAAGGUCUAUUUGAUACAGUUUUUAAAAACUAUAUUUUAAUUUUUAAAAAUUUAAAAAUAAAAAAUUUGUUUGUUAGAGAUUUUUAUAUCCAACAGUUUUGUGAAAAUGUUUUAAUUUUCUGUUUUAAGAAGAAAAAAACAAAAACAUCUUUUAAAUAUUUUCCUUUUCUAUUUUUUAGCUUUAAAAACACACGGAAAAUAGAUAGUUUUCAUUAAUGGCAUUUGUGUAAAUACGUUGAACUUCUUCUUCUAUAUUUUUAUUAUUUUAUUUUAUUAGUUUUUUUUUUACACACUCUUCUAAAUUUUGUUUUCUAUAUUUACAUUGGUUUGGGUGAAUUUUUUAUUUUUUAUUUUGUCUAUUAAAAAAUAAUUUUUUGUUCUCAAGUCAUAUCUCAAGUUGAAUGUUAAAUAUUGAAACCGAAACAAUGUGAGUUAUUUAUAGUAGUAUUUAGCUAUGUGAGUUAUUUAAUAUUAUAUCCAAAAUAUUUUACUUGUAUGUAAAUGUUAUUAGUUGAAUUUUUCUAUUUUUUACUUUUAUUAUUUAAUAUAAGAAAAACAGAUUUUAAAAAUUAUAAUACCAAAUAGUUUUUUUUUUUAAUUCUCUAUUCAAAAUCUAUUUUAAAAAAUUAGAUUAUAAAAUAUGUUUUCUCUUUUUCUCAUCUCUAAAAUUGUUUUUAGAAACAAGUAUCUCAAACAAAUUUUUUCUUUCAUUCUAUUCUUUAAAACAAUUUUAAAAAUUUAGAUUUAUACAAUAAUUUUUAAAAAUUAAAAUGCAAAAGUGUUUCAAACAUGCCCUUAAUGUUAGAGUUUUAUGUUUUAUGAUUUUAAAGACUCAAUUUUUAGAUUUGAAUAAUAUCUCUUAAAAUAUUAAGACAAAUAUAUAUAUAUAUAUAUAUAUAUAUAUAUAUAUAUAUAUAUAUANNNNNNNNNNAACUUCGCAUCAGUGCUAUUUUUCAGGAAAAAAAUAUUGAUUGGGAUAGACAAAAGUUACAAGUCCUGUUGCUAGUUAUAGAUGUUCCCCAUAGGCGAUUUGUAACAAAAGAGGUAUGACAUCACCAAAUGCUUUAAAUUCAAUUGUUGUGAUGAGAUUUAUAGGUAACAUGAAGAAACGCCUUUCUUAAACAUUAUUGUGCUCUCUACUUUUGGGUGUAAAAAAGACAUAUUUUAAUCUU
Molecule: long non-coding RNA, 1551 nt
Filed under: Cicer arietinum (chickpea)
Lineage: Eukaryota; Viridiplantae; Streptophyta; Magnoliopsida; Fabales; Fabaceae
Description: long non-coding RNA (CARI_LNC001849)
Source: RNAcentral